GUAGAAAUGCUCGGCUCGAUUAAUUGUUUCAAACCUACAGUUUCCAGAGCAAGGAACAAAAGUUGACACUUUGGCAGCAUGUUCAUCAUCAAUAAUUAGCUCGUCUCUCGAUCGCAACCUGCGCAUCCCUAACAGCAGCUAUGCUCUCACUGCCAAGAACUGUGUCCUUUGCAGCUGCAGCUUCACCACAUGGCAAUUGGAGUGUCACCCAAGGAAUAAGCAACAACUCAUGCCCUGCAGCUAAAUGUGGGAGCCUCUUCAUAGGCAACAACUCUGUUUCAGCUUGGUUGUUAACUAGUUAAACAUGAGCUGUUCACGAGCGACGUGCUUUUCGAUAGCCCUAAAAAGUAAUGAACUUGAUUUGUUAUUUGUCAUUCAAGGAACCAAUGGCUUGGGACCAGGGUCGCGAUUGCCAGAGAAAAAUGGUUGUUCAUCGAGGCUUCGAGUUGGAUGGAUGAUUCAGACACCAGUGAUGAUUCUUCUUAUAUUUUUGGUAAUUUUUUGUUUGCUUUGCAAUGAGAAUAGUUAA
This is a long non-coding RNA of Phalaenopsis equestris, 529 nucleotides long. RefSeq lists it as uncharacterized. Lineage: Eukaryota; Viridiplantae; Streptophyta; Magnoliopsida; Asparagales; Orchidaceae. The transcript has 4 exons. The record is from RefSeq and is a predicted model, not a curated record.